CCUCCUCCUUCACCAUCACCUCCCCCUCCUUAUGUGUACCAGUCACCACCUCCACCACCACAUGAGCAUAAGGCUCCACCUUAUGAAUACAAGUCACCUCCUCCACCUACACCAUCACCUCCGCCUCCUUAUGAGUACAAAUCACCACCUCCUCCUUCACCAUCACCACCUCCUCCUUAUGUGUACCAAUCUCCACCUCCACCACCACAUGAGCACAAGGCUCCACCAUAUCAUUACAACUCUCCUCCUCCACCCUCUUCCUCACCUCCACCUCCUUACUACUACAAAUCUCCCCCUCCACCCUCUCCCUCACCUCCACCACCUUACUACUACAAGUCCCCACCACCACCUUCACCAUCUCCACCCCCACCU
This 372-nucleotide long non-coding RNA is filed under the name Lupinus mutabilis. RNAcentral describes it as "partial ncRNA". The record is from RNAcentral. Lineage: Eukaryota; Viridiplantae; Streptophyta; Magnoliopsida; Fabales; Fabaceae.